CAAAGGAGCCCCGCGACUCCCAACUCAGCCACGGAGCCGCUGGAGUCGGCGCAACCCCCAACUCAGCCACGGAACCACCGAGCAAGGCUCGCUGUCAUUUCAGAUUCGUUGUGCGCCAAGCUCUUGCCAUUCCUAGGCAUGCAAUCCCGGAAAGCCAAGCACACAAAUUAAUUGGGGAGAAAGGCGGCUUUUCUGGACCACUUCCUUCAUAAGAGGAAAUUCACCUCCACGUGAGCCUUGGGGAAUGCUUGUAAAGAUUAUCACAGAAGGGUUACUCGGCGGCCGUUAUGACCUCCCGGUUACGUGCGUUGGGUGGAAGAAUUAAUAAUAUACGGACCUCAGAAUUGCCCAAAGAGAAAACUCGAUCCGAGGUCACCUGCAGCAUACGCUUUUUAGAU
Molecule: long non-coding RNA, 398 nt
Filed under: Rattus norvegicus (Norway rat)
Lineage: Eukaryota; Metazoa; Chordata; Mammalia; Rodentia; Muridae
Description: long non-coding RNA NONRATT023261
Source: RNAcentral